Molecule: transfer RNA, 63 nt
Filed under: Vorticeros sp. n. MW-2019
Lineage: Eukaryota; Metazoa; Platyhelminthes; Prolecithophora; Plagiostomidae
Description: tRNA-Leu
Source: RNAcentral
UAAGAAGUGUCAGAAUAAUGAAUUAAAUUUAGAAUUUAAAUAUGGGUAAUCCCCUCUUUUUAA